This 253-nucleotide ribosomal RNA is filed under the name uncultured bacterium. Its description in RNAcentral is "partial 16S ribosomal RNA". It matches the Rfam family "Bacterial small subunit ribosomal RNA", at positions 524 to 776 of the family's 1533-position model. The record is from RNAcentral.
UACGUAGGCAGCGAGCGUUGUUCGGAGUUACUGGGCGUAAAGGGUGUGUAGGCGGUUGUUUAAGUUUGGUGUGAAAUCUCCCGGCUCAACUGGGAGGGUGCGCCGAAUACUGAAUGACUAGAGUGCGGGAGAGGAGAGUGGAAUUCCUGGUGUAGCGGUGAAAUGCGUAGAUAUUGGGAGGAACACCAGUGGCGAAGGCGGCUCACUGGACCGGAACUGACGCUGAGGCGCGAAAGCGUGGGGAGCAAACAGG